UAUCAGAAGUGCGAAUGCUGACAUAAGUAACGAUAAAGCGGGUGAAAAGCCCGCUCGCCGGAAGACCAAGGGUUCCUGUCCAACGUUAAUCGGGGCAGGGUGAGUCGACCCCUAAGGCGAGGCCGAAAGGCGUAGUCGAUGGGAAACGGGUUAAUAUUCCCGUACUUGGUGUUACUGCGAAGGGGGGACGGAGAAGGCUAUGUUGGCCGGGCGACGGUUGUCCCGGUUUAAGCGUGUAGGUGUGUGUUCCAGGUAAAUCCGGUUCACUUUAACACUGAGGCGUGAUGACGAGGCACCACGGUGCUGAAGCAACAAAUGCCCUGCUUCCAGGAAAAGCCUCUAAGCAUCAGGUAACAUCAAAUCGUACCCCAAACCGACACAGGUGGUCAGGUAGAGAAUACCAAGGCGCUUGAGAGAACUCGGGUGAAGGAACUAGGCAAAAUGGUGCCGUAACUUCGGGAGAAGGCACGCUGACACGUAGGUGAAGUGAUUUACUCAUGGAGCUGAAGUCAGUCGAAGAUACCAGCUGGCUGCAACUGUUUAUUAAAAACACAGCACUGUGCAAACACGAAAGUGGACGUAUACGGUGUGACGCCUGCCCGGUGCCGGAAGGUUAAUUGAUGGGGUCAGCGCAAGCGAAGCUCCUGAUCGAAGCCCCGGUAAACGGCGGCCGUAACUAUAACGGUCCUAAGGUAGCGAAAUUCCUUGUCGGGUAAGUUCCGACCUGCACGAAUGGCGUAAUGAUGGCCAGGCUGUCUCCACCCGAGACUCAGUGAAAUUGAACUCGCUGUGAAGAUGCAGUGUACCCGCGGCAAGACGGAAAGACCCCGUGAACCUUUACUAUAGCUUGACACUGAACAUUGAGCCUUGAUGUGUAGGAUAGGUGGGAGGCUUUGAAGCGUGGACGCCAGUCUGCGUGGAGCCGACCUUGAAAUACCACCCUUUAAUGUUUGAUGUUCUAACGUGGACCCGUAAUCCGGGUUGCGGACAGUGUCUGGUGGGUAGUUUGACUGGGGCGGUCUCCUCCUAAAGAGUAACGGAGGAGCACGAAGGUUGGCUAAUCCUGGUCGGACAUCAGGAGGUUAGUGCAAUGGCAUAAGCCAGCUUGACUGCGAGCGUGACGGCGCGAGCAGGUGCGAAAGCAGGUCAUAGUGAUCCGGUGGUUCUGAAUGGAAGGGCCAUCGCUCAACGGAUAAAAGGUACUCCGGGGAUAACAGGCUGAUACCGCCCAAGAGUUCAUAUCGACGGCGGUGUUUGGCACCUCGAUGUCGGCUCAUCACAUCCUGGGGCUGAAGUAGGUCCCAAGGGUAUGGCUGUUCGCCAUUUAAAGUGGUACGCGAGCUGGGUUUAGAACGUCGUGAGACAGUUCGGUCCCUAUCUGCCGUGGGCGCUGGAAGACUGAGGGGGGCUGCUCCUAGUACGAGAGGACCGGAGUGGACGCAUCACUGGUGUUCGGGUUGUCAUGCCAAUGGCACUGCCCGGUAGCUAAAUGCGGAAAAGAUAAGUGCUGAAAGCAUCUAAGCACGAAACUUGCCCCGAGAUGAGUCUUCCCUGAGACCUUGAGUCUCCUGAAGGAA
This 1577-nucleotide ribosomal RNA is filed under the name Salmonella enterica. Its description in RNAcentral is "partial 23S ribosomal RNA". It matches the Rfam family "Bacterial large subunit ribosomal RNA", at positions 1280 to 2835 of the family's 2925-position model. The record is from RNAcentral. Lineage: Bacteria; Pseudomonadati; Pseudomonadota; Gammaproteobacteria; Enterobacterales; Enterobacteriaceae.